RNAcentral lists this ribosomal RNA (250 nucleotides) under uncultured bacterium. Its description in RNAcentral is "partial 16S ribosomal RNA". It matches the Rfam family "Bacterial small subunit ribosomal RNA", at positions 524 to 773 of the family's 1533-position model. The record is from RNAcentral.
UACGGAGGGUGCAAGCGUUGCUCGGAAUCACUGGGCGUAAAGCGACCGCAGGCGGCUUGUCAAGUCCGAUGUGAAAGCCCGGGGCUCAACCCCGGAAGUGCAUCGGAAACUGGCUCGCUUGAGUACGAGAGAGGAAAGCAGAAUUCCUGGUGUAGAGGUGAAAUUCGUAGAUAUCAGGAGGAAUACCCGCGGCGAAGGCGGCUUUCUGGCUCGAUACUGACGCUCAUGGUCGAAAGCGUGGGGAGCAAAC